GAUGAAGAACGCAGCGAAAUGCGAUAAGUAAUGUGAAUUGCAGAAUUCAGUGAAUCAUCGAAUCUUUGAACGCACAUUGCGCCCCCUGGUAUUCCGGGGGGCAUGCCUGUUCGAGCGUCAUUUCACCACUCAAGCCUCGCUUGGUAUUGGGCAACGCGGUCCGCCGCGUGCCUCAAAUCGACCGGCUGGGUCUUCUGUCCCCUAAGCGUUGUGGAAACUAUUCGCUAAAGGGUGUUCGGGAGGCUACGCCGUAUAACAACCCCAUUUCUAAGGUUGACCUCGGAUCAGGUAGGGAUACCCGCUGAACUUAAGCAUAUCAAUAAGCGGAGGA
This 331-nucleotide unclassified non-coding RNA is filed under the name soil metagenome. Its description in RNAcentral is "partial contains 5.8S ribosomal RNA, internal transcribed spacer 2, and large subunit ribosomal RNA". The stretch from base 1 to 120 matches the Rfam family "5.8S ribosomal RNA", at positions 35 to 154 of the family's 154-position model. The record is from RNAcentral.